This 300-nucleotide ribosomal RNA is filed under the name uncultured Halorubrum sp. RNAcentral's name for it is "partial 16S ribosomal RNA". It matches the Rfam family "Bacterial small subunit ribosomal RNA", at positions 496 to 795 of the family's 1533-position model. Lineage: Archaea; Methanobacteriati; Methanobacteriota; Halobacteria; Halobacteriales; Haloferacaceae. The record is from RNAcentral.
GCUAACGGGGGGCCAGGAGCCGGGGUAAGACAGAGGGGGCAAGGGUGAAUCGGAAGGACUGGGCGGAAAGCGCGCGGAGGGGGUGCGGUAAGUUGGAUGUGAAAGCCCCGGGCGCAACCUGGGAACUGCAUUCAAAACUGACGAGCUAGAGGAUGGUAGAGGGUGGUGGAAUUUCCUGUGUAGCGGUGAAAUGCGUAGAUAUAGGAAGGAACACCAGUGGCGAAGGCGACCACCUGGACUGAUACUGACACUGAGGUGCGAAAGCGUGGGGAGCAAACAGGAUUAGAUACCCCUGUAGUC